CCUACGGGAGGCAGCAGUGAGGGAUAUUGCACAAUGGACGAUAGUCUGAUGCAGCGACGCCGCGUGGGCGAAGAAGGUUUUCGGAUCGUAAAGCCCUUUUCUAUGUGACGAGAUAGGACGGUAGCAUAGGAAUAAGUGUCGGCUAACUACGUGCCAGCAGCCGCGGUAAAACGUAGGACGCGAACGUUAUCCGGAGUUACUGGGCGUAAAGCGCGCGCAGGCGGUCGAGUAAGUUGCCUAUGAAAGCUUCCGGCUAAACCGGAAGAGGCUAGGUGAAACUGCCCGACUAGAGAGAGACAGAGGGAAGUAGAAUUCCGGGUGUAGUGGUGAAAUGCGUAGAUAUCCGGAGGAAUACCAGUGGCGAAGGCGGCUUCCUGGGUCUCAGCUGACGCUGAUGCGCGAAAGCGUGGGUAGCGAACGGGAUUAGAAACCCCGGUAGUCCACGCUGUAAACGAUGUACAUUAGGCGUUCGCAUGCGUUCAGUAUGUGAGUGUCGAAGCUAACGCGAUAUAUGUACCGCCUGGGGAGUACGGUCGCAAGGCUAAAACUCAAAGGAAUUGACGG
Molecule: ribosomal RNA, 564 nt
Filed under: uncultured bacterium
Lineage: Bacteria
Description: bacterial SSU rRNA
Rfam family: Bacterial small subunit ribosomal RNA
Source: RNAcentral